RNAcentral lists this ribosomal RNA (448 nucleotides) under uncultured bacterium. RNAcentral describes it as "SSU rRNA". It matches the Rfam family "Bacterial small subunit ribosomal RNA", at positions 26 to 518 of the family's 1533-position model. The record is from RNAcentral.
AGAACGAACGCUGGCGGCAUGCCUAACACAUGCAAGUCGAACGAAGGCUUCGGCCUUAGUGGCGCACGGGUGAGUAACGCGUGGGAACCUACCUCUUGGUUCGGAAUAACCGCGGGAAACUGCGGCUAAUACCGGAUAUGCCGGGCAACCGGGAAAGAUUUAUCGCCGAGAGAAGGGCCCGCGUCCGAUUAGGUAGUUGGUGGGGUAAAAGCCUACCAAGCCGACGAUCGGUAGCUGGUCUGAGAGGAUGAUCAGCCACACUGGGACUGAGACACGGCCCAGACUCCUACGGGAGGCAGCAGUGGGGAAUAUUGGACAAUGGGCGAAAGCCUGAUCCAGCAAUGCCGCGUGAGUGAUGAAGGCCUUAGGGUUGUAAAGCUCUUUCGGCGGGGACGAUGAUGACGGUACCCGCAGAAGAAGCCCCGGCUAACUUCGCGCCAGCAGCCGC